GUCCUAGCCGUAAACACUGUGAGCAAGAUAAGACGUAAACCUAGAGUUUGCGUUGUAUCGAAAUGAAGAUGAAAGCUCACCACCUGGGAAGUAUAGUCGCAAGGCCGAAACUUAAAGGAAUUGGCGGGGGAGCACUACAAGGGGUGCGGCGUGCGGUUUAAUUGAAUUCAACGCCGGAAAUCUCACCAGAAGCGACGGCAGGAUGAAGGCCAGUCUAAAGGGCUUGCCUGACGAGCCGAUAGGUAUUGCAUGGCCGCCGU
RNAcentral lists this ribosomal RNA (260 nucleotides) under uncultured bacterium. RNAcentral's name for it is "partial 16S ribosomal RNA". It matches the Rfam family "Archaeal small subunit ribosomal RNA", at positions 744 to 1004 of the family's 1478-position model. The record is from RNAcentral.